UGGGGGAUAUUGCACAAUGGGCGAAAGCCUGAUGCAGCGACGCCGCGUGGGGGAUGAAGGCCUUCGGGUUGUAAACUUCUUUUGCUCUGAACAAGGCAUGCUAAUGGGUGUGUUGAGUGUAGGGGUUGAUUAGCGCCGGCUAACUACGUGCCAGCAGCCGCGGUAAUACGUAGGGCGCGAGCGUUGUCCGGAAUUAUUGGGCGGAAAGGGCUUGUAGGUGGCUGGUUGCGUCUGUCGUGAAAGCUCAUGGCUUAACUGUGGGUUUGCGGUGGAUACGGGCUGGCUUGAGUGCAGUAGGGGAGGCUGGAAUUCCUGGUGUAGCGGUGGAAUGCGCAGAUAUCAGGAGGAAUACCGGUGGCGAAGGCGGGUCUCUGGGCUGUAACUGACACUGAGGAGCGAAAGCAUGGGGAGCGAACAGG
RNAcentral lists this ribosomal RNA (419 nucleotides) under bacterium. Its description in RNAcentral is "partial 16S ribosomal RNA". It matches the Rfam family "Bacterial small subunit ribosomal RNA", at positions 355 to 776 of the family's 1533-position model. The record is from RNAcentral.